GCGCGAGUGGUGGAAUGGUAGACACGUACGUUUGAGGGGCGUAUGCGCAAGCGUGGGGGUUCAAGUCCCCCCUCGCGCACCA
Molecule: transfer RNA, 82 nt
Filed under: Bdellovibrio sp.
Lineage: Bacteria; Pseudomonadati; Bdellovibrionota; Bdellovibrionia; Bdellovibrionales; Pseudobdellovibrionaceae
Also listed under: 3 other names
Description: tRNA-Leu
Rfam family: tRNA
About the family: Transfer RNA (tRNA) molecules are approximately 80 nucleotides in length. Their secondary structure includes four short double-helical elements and three loops (D, anti-codon, and T loops).
Source: RNAcentral